RNAcentral lists this ribosomal RNA (894 nucleotides) under Triticum aestivum (bread wheat). Its description in RNAcentral is "partial small subunit ribosomal RNA". The record is from RNAcentral. Lineage: Eukaryota; Viridiplantae; Streptophyta; Magnoliopsida; Poales; Poaceae.
AUGUUUAGAGCAAUGGCGCACCGCCUUCUUCUGAGGGGUAAGAUGAGCGUCGGCCUCGCUCGCUUCUCCGCGGCCCCGAGUUCCCAGAGGCUGGCCGGGAAGGUGGCCGUCAUCACCGGCGCCGCCAGCGGCAUGGGCAAGGCGACCGCUGCGGAGUUCGUCAGGAACGGCGCCAAGGUCAUCCUCACUGACAUUCAGGACGACCUCGGCCACGCCGUGGCCGCCGAGCUCGGCCCCAACGCCUCCUACGCCCGCUGCGACGUCACGGACGAGGCGCAGAUCGCCGCGGCCGUCGACCUCGCGGUGGCGCGCCACGGCAAACUCGACAUCCUGCACAACCACGCUGGGGUCGCCGGGAGGAUGACCAUGGACUCCGUCGCGUCCCUCGACCUCGCCGACUUCGACCGCACCAUGGCGGCCAACGCCCAGUCCGCCGUCGCCGGGAUCAAGCACGCGGCGCGCGUGAUGGAGCCGCGCCGGAGCGGGUGCAUCAUCUGCACGGCGAGCACGGCGGGGGUACUAGGCGGCGUGAACCCCGCGUACUGCAUCUCCAAGGCCGCCGUGAUCGGCGCCGUUCGGGCGUUGGCCCGGGAGCUGGGGAGGCACGGCGUGCGCGUGAACGCCAUCUCGCCGCAUGGCGUCGCGACGCCGUUCGGGCUGCGCGGGCUGGCGGAGCUGCUCCCGGAGGCGAGCGAGGAGGAGCUGAGGCGAAUGGUGGAGGCGGGCAUGAACGAGAUGGGCGGGGCGGUUCUGGAGGUGGAGGACAUCGCGCGGGCGGCCGUGUACCUGGCGUCCGAGGAGGCCAGGUACGUCAACGGGCACAACCUCGUCGUCGACGGAGGGUUUACCGUGGGGAAGCUGAUUCACAUGCCCGAUCCGGUGAGGAGUGAGUGA